UACGUAGGGUCCGAGCGUUGUCCGGAAUUAUUGGGCGUAAAGGGCUCGUAGGCGGUUCGUCACGUCGGGAGUGAAAACUCGGGGCUUAACCCCGAGCCUGCUUCCGAUACGGGCAGACUAGGGGUAGGCAGGGGAGAGCGGAACUCCUGGUGUAGCGGUGGAAUGCGCAGAUAUCAGGAAGAACACCGGUGGCGAAGGCGGCUCUCUGGGCCUUACCUGACGCUGAGGAGCGAAAGCGUGGGUAGCGAACAGG
This 253-nucleotide ribosomal RNA is filed under the name uncultured bacterium. RNAcentral describes it as "partial 16S ribosomal RNA". It matches the Rfam family "Bacterial small subunit ribosomal RNA", at positions 524 to 776 of the family's 1533-position model. The record is from RNAcentral.